RNAcentral lists this ribosomal RNA (369 nucleotides) under uncultured organism. Its description in RNAcentral is "bacterial SSU rRNA". It matches the Rfam family "Bacterial small subunit ribosomal RNA", at positions 526 to 896 of the family's 1533-position model. The record is from RNAcentral.
CGUAGGGUGCGAGCGUUAAUCGGAAUUACUGGGCGUAAAGCGUGCGCAGGCGGUUAUGUAAGACAGAUGUGAAAUCCCCGGGCUCAACCUGGGAACUGCAUUUGUGACUGCAUGGCUAGAGUACGGUAGAGGGGGAUGGAAUUCCGCGUGUAGCAGUGAAAUGCGUAGAUAUGCGGAGGAACACCGAUGGCGAAGGCAAUCCCCUGGACCUGUACUGACGCUCAUGCACGAAAGCGUGGGGAGCAAACAGGAUUAGAUACCCUGGUAGUCCACGCCCUAAACGAUGUCAACUGGUUGUUGGGAAUUAGUUUCUCAGUAACGAAGCUAACGCGUGAAGUUGACCGCCUGGGGAGUGCGGCCGCAAGGUUG